This 585-nucleotide long non-coding RNA is filed under the name Homo sapiens (human). RNAcentral's name for it is "HSALNT0130853". The record is from RNAcentral. Lineage: Eukaryota; Metazoa; Chordata; Mammalia; Primates; Hominidae.
GAGCCACCCUGAGCCUUGGGGACCCACCAGGAAAGCAUCUCCUCAUGAGAAAGGAGCUGGCCUUGACCUUGCUGGGGACCUGCCUCAAAUUCACUAUCCCUGCAUGGGGGUCUCCUCGUGGAGCUCAUCUCUCACUGAGGAAAGAAGGGCUCGGCUUUGAUAAAGGAAUGCUAGACUUUAGCAGCAGACGCAGGCGUUUCUGGUGUUUCAACUCCGUUCAGCAUGGGCCACCUUUGGGUCCAUGUUUCAGCCAACCCGCCCGUGAAGCCUGAAGCAGCUCCAUCUUGGGAGCAAAUCCUCCACCUCGGCUUCUGAUCAACCCCGGUUCCAGCUGAUCUACUGUUCUGUGUAAGAGCAAGUACUUGUCAUAAAUCCUGCCCUUACGGCAAAUCAACCUUGAUAAACUCCACGGUAAAUCCUGCCCUUAGGCAUAUUCCUACACCUUCCCUCUGGAGCACCAUACCUUUGCCCUAUGUAUAGAAGCCCUGGGUCCGGGGGGUGCUGGUGGGGACCUACCUGUCUUGUGGUUGCCCAAGACUACACUUCUGCCCGUAAGUUCCCCCAAUAAAAUCACCCUAUAACAAC